UGGGGAAUAUUGCACAAUGGGCGCAAGCCUGAUGCAGCCAUGCCGCGUGUAUGAAGAAGGCCUUCGGGUUGUAAAGUACUUUCAGCGGGGAGGAAGGCGAUAAGGUUAAUAACCUUGUCGAUUGACGUUACCCGCAGAAGAAGCACCGGCUAACUCCGAGCCAGCAGCCGCGGUAAUACGGAGGGUGCAAGCGUUAAUCGGAAGUACUGGGCGUAAAGCGCACGCAGGCGGUCUGUCAAGUCGGAUGUGAAAUCCCCGGGCUCAACCUGGGAACUGCAUUCGAAACUGGCAGGCUAGAGUCUUGUAGAGGGGGGUAGAAUUCCAGGUGUAGCGGUGAAAUGCGUAGAGAUCUGGAGGAAUACCGGUGGCGAAGGCGGCCCCCUGGACAAAGACUGACGCUCAGGUGCGAAAGCGUGGGGAGCAAACA
Molecule: ribosomal RNA, 427 nt
Filed under: uncultured bacterium
Lineage: Bacteria
Description: partial 16S ribosomal RNA
Rfam family: Bacterial small subunit ribosomal RNA
Source: RNAcentral